Molecule: ribosomal RNA, 190 nt
Filed under: uncultured Glomeromycotina
Lineage: Eukaryota; Fungi; Glomeromycota
Description: partial 18S ribosomal RNA
Rfam family: Eukaryotic small subunit ribosomal RNA
Source: RNAcentral
UAGUAUUCAAUUGUCAGAGGUGAAAUCAUKGGAUUUAUUGAAGACUAACUACUGCGAAAGCAUUUGCCAAGGAUGUUUUCAUUAAUCAAGAACGAAAGUUACGGGAUCGAAGACGAUCAGAUACCGUCGUAGUCUUAACCAUAAACUAUGCCGACUAGGGAUCGGAUGAUGUUAAUUUUUUAAUGACUCA